Molecule: ribosomal RNA, 520 nt
Filed under: uncultured Glomus
Lineage: Eukaryota; Fungi; Glomeromycota; Glomeromycetes; Glomerales; Glomeraceae
Description: SSU rRNA
Rfam family: Eukaryotic small subunit ribosomal RNA
Source: RNAcentral
AGCAGCCGCGGUAAUUCCAGCUCCAAUAGCGUAUAUUAAAGUUGUUGCAGUUAAAAAGCUCGUAGUUGAAUUUCGGGAUCAAGGAAUCGGUCAUGCCUUGGUAUGUACUGGUUUUAUUGGUUCUCACCUUCUAAAGAACCAUAAUGUCAUUCAUUUGAUGUUAUGGGGAAUUAGGACUGUUACCUUGAAAAAAUUAGAGUGUUUAAAGCAGGCUUACGCUUGAAUACAUUAGCAUGGAAUAAUGAAAUAGGACAUCAGAUUCUAUUUUGUUGGUUUCUAGGAUCGAUGUAAUGAUUAAUAGGGAUAGUUGGGGGCAUUAGUAUUCAAUUGUCAGAGGUGAAAUUCUUGGAUUUAUUGAAGACUAACUACUGCGAAAGCAUUUGCCAAGGAUGUUUUCAUUAAUCAAGAACGAAAGUUAGGGGAUCGAAGACGAUCAGAUACCGUCGUAGUCUUAACCAUAAACUAUGCCGACUACGGGAUACGGAUGAUGUUUAAUUUUUAAUUAGACUCUAUUCGGUCC